GAUGAACGCUGGCGGUAUGCUUAACACAUGCAAGUCGAACGGUCUCUUCGGAGAUAGUGGCGGACGGGUGAGUAACGCGUGAGAAUCUGGCUCUAGGUCUGGGACAACCACUGGAAACGGUGGCUAAUACCGGGUAUGCCGAAAGGUGAAAGGUUAACUGCCUGGAGAUGAGCUCGCGUCUGAUUAGCUAGUUGGUAGGGUAAAAGCUUACCAAGGCGACGAUCAGUAGCUGGUCUGAGAGGACGAUCAGCCACACUGGGACUGAGACAC
RNAcentral lists this ribosomal RNA (270 nucleotides) under Rhizonema sp. 'cyanobiont of Leptogidium sp.'. RNAcentral's name for it is "partial 16S ribosomal RNA". It matches the Rfam family "Bacterial small subunit ribosomal RNA", at positions 28 to 327 of the family's 1533-position model. RNAcentral also lists the same sequence under 2 other names. Lineage: Bacteria; Bacillati; Cyanobacteriota; Cyanophyceae; Nostocales; Rhizonemataceae. The record is from RNAcentral.